GGGGACCAAGCAGUCUGAAUCCAGACCUAAA
This 31-nucleotide non-coding RNA is filed under the name Rattus norvegicus (Norway rat). The record is from RNAcentral. Lineage: Eukaryota; Metazoa; Chordata; Mammalia; Rodentia; Muridae.